CAUGAGGGUGCUUGGUAGGACGGUUAAGGAAGGACGAUUCACUCGUCUUCUCAUCGCUGGGACCUGGGAGUGCAGCCCUCCCCUCCUGAAUUAUACU
This is a non-coding RNA of Notechis scutatus (mainland tiger snake), 97 nucleotides long. The record is from RefSeq and is a predicted model, not a curated record. Lineage: Eukaryota; Metazoa; Chordata; Lepidosauria; Squamata; Elapidae.